CCCCAGGCUGUGGCACUUUGUUACGACAUCCUAGCGAAUGCAUAUGUUGGGAAGGGUCAGCCUCGGGACCGGAUAGACACUGGCCAGCCCUGACGCCAACAGUAACCCUUUCUCCCUCAGCGACACAGUCUGGGAGUUGCCAGGGAGGACCAGGCCACUCAGCACUCCUGGAACUCCCCCAGGAGCAGUCCAACUUUCAGAAUGCAAAACUAACAUCUUAUCUCAUUCAUUCAUUCACGCAUUCACUCAUUCGGCUAACACCUUAUUGGGUCCCAGCUAUGUUCCAGGCAACUCAGUGGGCAGAGGGCAGGCUCAGUCUCUGCCUUUAGAGAGCUGGUGGGGGAGGCAGGCCCUUCCCAGAUGGAGACCCUUCAUUGAGUGGGACACAAAAGAGCCUGGUGAGAGCAUGGCAAGGGGACCUCAGGUCUGUUGCUCCAUGUCGGCCUUCCCCAUGCAGCUGCCCGCUUUGGGGCAUGAGGAUCUGGGUUCCCAGGACAGACUGCCACUGAUGGAGGGCACCCCACCCUUCCCAGAGGGAGACAACACACUAUAUCCGAGGAAUGUGGGGUGACUGGCUGUCAAAGGUCAACUUCUGUUGGGGCUGGUGACGCUGCAGAACACAACCGGCACCAGUGUUUUGCAAUGUGUAGUGCAAUCAUUUUUCACCAGCAGCCCUCUCAAAGAGACCUGGUGGAGCAAGACAAUGGAGAUAAUAGGGCUGAGCCACUGCUUACAGCUCUGUAAACCCAGGCUCCCCAAGUCCUAGGGACGAGAGCUCUGCAGAUAUCGUGGGGCGGAACCCCAGGCUGCCUGGUUGGUGCUGGCACCAGCUGCUCUGCGCAGACUUGGGCUGUGAGCAGGGGUGCGGCCUUGGACUCCUCCAGCUGGGCUUGCUCCCUGAGCACGGGGCGUUCUGAGGGCUUAGAGCAGGGAGCCUGCAGGGCAGCGCAGACCCGGGCGGGCUCGGCCUCCUCGGUGGAAUCAGUCUGCGGACCAGUGGGCAGCUGGUAGAUGUCAGCGUUCACCCCGCUCGCCUCUUACUCCAAAAGACAUUCAAAAAAGGCACGUUAUCCAUAAGCCUGGCAGGAAGUCAUGGGCUCAGGAUCACAGGCAGUUGCAGAAGUUGGAGUGGACAGAACCACAGGCACUGGCUUCUGGUCUGUGGGGCCUUGAGUUUGAGCUCCUGGAUUGGCCUGAGCUGGCGAGGGCCUCACUCCAUCCCUUCCAGAAGACCAUGUGGGCACUUGAUCUACCUCUUAUUCACACCCCCCAACCAGCACAUGGGGCAGACACUCUGGAAAGAAAUGGCGGCUCUGAAGGGUUAAGUGGCUUCUCGAAGGUCCCACAGCUCAUGGUAGAGCCACAUCCACAUCCAGGACUGAGCAGCUCCAAGCAUGGUUCCUUCCGCAGCCCUGCUCAGCCUCCUCGUGGAGGCCACUCAAUUUCUUGGCAAGAGACAAGAGGACGUGAGACAUCAGGACUGUGGUCAGGACAGUGGAAGGUUUUAUUUUACUUUUUGUUUGCUUUUUUAUUUAUUCAUUCCAAAAUGAAAAUGAUGAGUUAUUUAGAAUUCUUUAAGAUUCAAAAUAUAGAGUUUAAAGAACAAAGUAAAAAUUACCCUUAAAUUCCACCAACUGGAGAUAGUUACUGUUAACAGUUUGGCGAACAGAUUUCCAGACAGCUCUGUGUGCGUGUGCGUGUGUG
This is a long non-coding RNA of Equus caballus (horse), 1704 nucleotides long. The record is from Ensembl. NCBI's taxonomy places the organism in Eukaryota, Metazoa, Chordata, Mammalia, Perissodactyla, Equidae.